UGGGGAAUAUUGCACAAUGGGCGCAAGCCUGAUGCAGCCAUGCCGCGUGUAUGAAGAAGGCCUUCGGGUUGUAAAGUACUUUCAGCGGGGAGGAAGGGAGUAAAGUUAAUACCUUUGCUCAUUGACGUUACCCGCAGAAGAAGCACCGGCUAACUCCGUGCCAGCAGCCGCGGUAAUACGGAGGGUGCAAGCGUUAAUCGGAAUUACUGGGCGUAAAGCGCACGCAGGCGGUCUGUCAAGUCGGAUGUGAAAUCCCCGGGCUCAACCUGGGAACUGCAUUCGAAACUGGCAGGCUAGAGUCUUGUAGAGGGGGGUAGAAUUCCAGGUGUAGCGGUGAAAUGCGUAGAGAUCUGGAGGAAUACCGGUGGCGAAGGCGGCCCCCUGGACGAAGACUGACGCUCAGGUGCGAAAGCGUGGGGAGCAAACAGG
RNAcentral lists this ribosomal RNA (429 nucleotides) under Chloroflexota bacterium. Its description in RNAcentral is "Chloroflexi bacterium partial 16S ribosomal RNA". It matches the Rfam family "Bacterial small subunit ribosomal RNA", at positions 355 to 776 of the family's 1533-position model. The record is from RNAcentral. Lineage: Bacteria; Bacillati; Chloroflexota.